Molecule: ribosomal RNA, 301 nt
Filed under: uncultured bacterium
Lineage: Bacteria
Description: partial 16S ribosomal RNA
Rfam family: Bacterial small subunit ribosomal RNA
Source: RNAcentral
CAGUAGCCGCGGUAACACGAAGGGUGCAAGCGUUAAUCGGAAUUACUGGGCGUAAAGCGCACGCAGGCGGUUUGUUAAGUCAGAUGUGAAAUCCCCGAGCUUAACUUGGGAACUGCAUUUGAGACUGUAUGGCUAGAGUGUGUCAGAGGGGGGUAGAAUUCCACGUGUAGCAGUGAAAUGCGUAGAGAUCGGGAGGAACAUCAGUGGCGAAGGCGGCCAUCUGGGACAACACUGACGCUGAGGCACGAAAGCGUGGGGAGCAAACAGGAUUAGAUACCCCUGUAGUCCCUGUCUCUUAUAC